Molecule: ribosomal RNA, 462 nt
Filed under: uncultured bacterium
Lineage: Bacteria
Description: bacterial SSU rRNA
Rfam family: Bacterial small subunit ribosomal RNA
Source: RNAcentral
GAUGAACGCUGGCGGCGUGCCUAACACAUGCAAGUCGAGCGAUUUACUUCGGUAAAGAGCGGCGGACGGGUGAGUAACGCGUGGGUAACCUGCCCUGUACACACGGAUAACAUACCGAAAGGUAUGCUAAUACGAGAUAAUAUGCUUUUAUCGCAUGGUAGAAGUAUCAAAGCUCCGGCGGUACAGGAUGGACCCGCGUCUGAUUAGCUAGUUGGUAAGGUAACGGCUUACCAAGGCGACGAUCAGUAGCCGACCUGAGAGGGUGAUCGGCCACAUUGGAACUGAGACACGGUCCAAACUCCUACGGGAGGCAGCAGUGGGGAAUAUUGCACAAUGGGCGAAAGCCUGAUGCAGCAACGCCGCGUGAGCGAUGAAGGCCUUCGGGUCGUAAAGCUCUGUCCUCAAGGAAGAUAAUGACGGGUAACUUGAGGAGGAAGCCCCGGCUAACUAACGUGCCAGCAG